This 26-nucleotide non-coding RNA is filed under the name Homo sapiens (human). The record is from RNAcentral. Lineage: Eukaryota; Metazoa; Chordata; Mammalia; Primates; Hominidae.
GACGAUGUGGCUUGCUCGCGGAGGUU